Long non-coding RNA from Acinonyx jubatus (cheetah), 2065 nucleotides. RefSeq lists it as uncharacterized. NCBI's taxonomy places the organism in Eukaryota, Metazoa, Chordata, Mammalia, Carnivora, Felidae. The transcript is spliced from 2 exons. The record is from RefSeq and is a predicted model, not a curated record.
CCGGCAACACGGCCUCGCCCCAGCAUCCUGGGGCUGAAUCAUGGGACCAGAGCCACUAGGAGCCGUUUGGCCACCAUCCUCUGCCGUGAGCUCUCCGCCCAGCCCUUUCAUUUCUCAGACGGGAAGACUGAGGCCCAGAGCGGGGAAGGGUCUCGCUCACAUUCACUCAACGAGGUGGGGACAAGGCUGGGAUGGGAUCCCAGGUCUCUUGCCGCGUGAUGUCACGCACAGCCAGAGCCCCGUCUCUCUCCGAGAGCCUUUUCUCUCUGCCGCUGCUGCGGCACAGGGCUGGGCACACGAGAUGGCUCGCGAAUCCUGCCGACUGCAGUUCUGAAUCACGAGCCGGAUGGUCUUUUGACAAACAGCAGGCCUCACAGGGAUGUACUGACUCAGAGGACAGAGGAGCCCAGAAUAUUCUCUAGACCCCGCAGAGAGAGCAGCGGCCUGCCUAACGUGGCCCAGAAGCCUGAUGUAAAUGCGUCUACGUUUGUAGACUUGUCUGUGUGUGUGUCCCUGUGUGUGUGUGUGUGUGUGUGUGUGUGUGUGUGUCAGGACCCAGCCCUGGGAGUCAGAAGGUCAGGAUCCCAGUUUUCCACACCCCAUGUUCUGUGUCUCCUCCUCAGUACACUGGGUAUGGUGACGCUCCAUGCAGCCACCUCCAGAGGGGCCACCCUGACCACAGAGAAAUGGAGGGGGCCUCUGAGACUCACCCACAUCGUGGGGACCCCCCCCCCCCCCGCCAUGGAGCUACCAGGGAACUUUGAGGAAACACCAGCACUGGAGCUCUGCUGGCAACCCUAACCACAGCCAAGGCCGAGAGCCCCUGGCCCGUGUCACCCAGGGUCAGGAAAGACGGGCCCAGGGCAACCACAGAGCAAAUGCUGGCUUUUCAUCCUUGAGGACAGAGGAAGGGGCCGCUGCAGGCAGUUUGCAAGGCUCAGCCGAUCCAGAGAGGGCAGAGGCGGCUCGGGAUGAACACCUGCGACUCACUGAAACACGUUAGUCCACAAGCCUCCAGAAUGGCAGCCCGGAUGGCAGCUGAGCCUUGGGACUCCCUGGGAGAAGGAAGAGGGGAGGGGGGGGGAGAAGGAGCGAACAGACAGCAGCUCCCUCCCCGCCCAGCACUGCCACGCUCGGCUCGCUCGGUGCCUGUUUCCAGGGGAUUUUUAAAUCUCCAUUUUCUGGCCGGAUGGUCGUAUGACUAAGGGCAGCUGUGCGUCUGUGAGCAAAGCUCAGUUCUGUGCGGGGGAGGUUGUGGGAGCCACAGGGAGGCCCAAAGAGCCAGGGGGACCCAAAGAGCCUGCGGAUGAAGCUCCAAUGCAAUCAAACUUGCCGAGGUCACUCCCCCUGGCCGGCACGGCGACAACAGAAACGUCCAUCAACAGGCGGAUGGACAGACAGAAGGCGGUCUUUCCACACAAAGGAGCAUCAUUCAGCCGCAAAAGAGAACGAAGCCCUGCUCCGUGCUGCAACAUGGAUGGGCCUCAAAAACGUGUCGAGUGCAAGGAACCAGACCCCCAAAGCCACAUAUCACACGAUCCCACUUCUACAAAACGUCCAGAAUAGGUUAAGUCCCAAAACACAAAGCAGGUGAGGGGUUGACAUGGGCCGGAGGGGGGAAGGGACAGGAAUGGAGGCAGCUGCCAACGAGUGUGGGGUUUAGGGGCGGGGUGAUGGCAAUGUCCUAAACGUGGCUGUGGUAUGGCUGCACCCUCCCGAAUAUCCCCAAACCCGAACUGUCCUGCGUGUGAAUCGUAUCUCGACAAAGCUUAUAUAUUUUAAACAGUGGGUGAGAAUGCGGGGCGCCCGGGUGGCUCAGCCGGUUAAGCAUCUGCAUUGCGAUUUUGGCCCAGGUCAUGAUCUCCCCGUUCGCGGGAUCAAGCCCUGCGUCUGGCUCCUCGCUGCGCGUGGAGCCUGCUGGGGAUUCACCCUUUCUUUCUCUCUUCCCCUCCCCUGCCCGUGCUCUCGUUCUCUCAAAAUAAAUAAGUAAAUAAAUUUUUUUUAGAAGAAGCUAGAAAUGACGCCUUAGUGUGCAAAUGGCAGCGGCAAUAAAAUGGUGUGAGAG